GUGGGGAAUAUUGGACAAUGGGCGAAAGCCUGAUCCAGCAAUGCCGCGUGCAGGAUGAAGGCCCUCGGGUUGUAAACUGCUUUUGUACGGAACGAAAAGCCUGGGGCUAAUAUCCCCGGGUCAUGACGGUACCGUAAGAAUAAGCACCGGCUAACUACGUGCCAGCAGCCGCGGUAAUACGUAGGGUGCAAGCGUUAAUCGGAAUUACUGGGCGUAAAGCGUGCGCAGGCGGUUUUGUAAGACAGUGGUGAAAUCCCCGGGCUCAACCUGGGAACUGCCAUUGUGACUGCAAGGCUAGAGUGCGGCAGAGGGGGAUGGAAUUCCGCGUGUAGCAGUGAAAUGCGUAGAUAUGCGGAGGAACACCGAUGGCGAAGGCAAUCCCCUGGGCCUGCACUGACGCUCAUGCACGAAAGCGUGGGGAGCAAACAGGAUUAGAAACCCGUGUAGUCC
Molecule: ribosomal RNA, 450 nt
Filed under: uncultured bacterium
Lineage: Bacteria
Description: partial 16S ribosomal RNA
Rfam family: Bacterial small subunit ribosomal RNA
Source: RNAcentral